GAUCCUGGCUCAGGACGAACGCUGGCGGCGCGCCUAACACAUGCAAGUUGAACGAGCGAGAGAGAGCUUGCUUUCUCGAGCGAGUGGCGAACGGGUGAGUAACACGUGAGGAACCUGCCUCAAAGAGGGGGACAACAGUUGGAAACGACUGCUAAUACCGCAUAAGCCCACAGGUCGGCAUCGACCAGAGGGAAAAGGAGCAAUCCGCUUUGAGAUGGCCUCGCGUCCGAUUAG
Molecule: ribosomal RNA, 234 nt
Filed under: uncultured bacterium
Lineage: Bacteria
Description: partial 16S ribosomal RNA
Rfam family: Bacterial small subunit ribosomal RNA
Source: RNAcentral